UAGCUCAGUUGGUAGAGCAUGGCGCUUGCAAUGCCAGAGUUGUGGGUUUGAUUCCCAA
RNAcentral lists this transfer RNA (58 nucleotides) under Oncorhynchus kisutch (coho salmon). It matches the Rfam family "tRNA", at positions 8 to 63 of the family's 71-position model. Rfam says of the family: Transfer RNA (tRNA) molecules are approximately 80 nucleotides in length. Their secondary structure includes four short double-helical elements and three loops (D, anti-codon, and T loops). RNAcentral also lists the same sequence under 2 other names. The record is from Rfam by way of RNAcentral. Lineage: Eukaryota; Metazoa; Chordata; Actinopteri; Salmoniformes; Salmonidae.